RNAcentral lists this transfer RNA (71 nucleotides) under Dipodomys ordii (Ord's kangaroo rat). It matches the Rfam family "tRNA". Rfam says of the family: Transfer RNA (tRNA) molecules are approximately 80 nucleotides in length. Their secondary structure includes four short double-helical elements and three loops (D, anti-codon, and T loops). Further hydrogen bonds mediate the characteristic L-shaped molecular structure. tRNAs have two regions of fundamental functional importance: the anti-codon, which is responsible for specific mRNA codon recognition, and the 3' end, to which the tRNAs corresponding amino acid is attached (by aminoacyl-tRNA synthetases). tRNAs cope with the degeneracy of the genetic code in two manners: having more than one tRNA (with a specific anti-codon) for a particular amino acid; and 'wobble' base-pairing, i.e. permitting non-standard base-pairing at the 3rd anti-codon position. Lineage: Eukaryota; Metazoa; Chordata; Mammalia; Rodentia; Heteromyidae. The record is from Rfam by way of RNAcentral.
GGGAGUGUGGCUUAGUGGUAGAGUACUUGCCUAGCAUGCAUGAAGCUCUGAGUUCAAUUCCCCAGUACCCA